Small nucleolar RNA from Tachyglossus aculeatus (Australian echidna), 138 nucleotides. NCBI's taxonomy places the organism in Eukaryota, Metazoa, Chordata, Mammalia, Monotremata, Tachyglossidae. The record is from RefSeq and is a predicted model, not a curated record.
UACCUCUUAGGGUCACACCUGGAGACUUUCCAGUACUCUACCAGUCUCAAAUGUGGGAGGGAGAGAAAAGCAGAAGCAUAUCCAUUCCAUUCCUAGCUUGGGUAAUGGCUAGUGAGUGGAAGGCAAUCUGCUACAAGU